UUUCCAUGCAAAAUAGAAUGUUGAUCUAUUUUAAAGACCAUCCACUUUGUUGUGUCACAAAUGAAGACAGUAACAACACCUUGGGUCCUAGGUAAGGCAGUCCACACUGUGGAGUUACUGAGAGGAUCCAUCUGCUAGGAAUGCUGUGUUUAAUUUGGGGGGGGAGACUAGGACAGCAGUGUCCCUCAUUUGGAAAGAGUAGGACCGAAAGCUCUGGUGAAGGCAUCCUCUGUAGAUCAGAAGGCUCCAAUUCAAAGCAUUUGUCGCACCAGUUUUGGCUUGACCACCUCGUAUCAUUCACCCAGACUUGAUAUUUCUCUUUGUACCUAUGAUCCAGAACCUUGGCAUAGGCAUGGACAUAACCAUAGGAGGUUUGAUCUGGUCUGGUUUUGCUCUGAUACAGCUCCCAGCACACAUAGUCAUGACAGGAUGCGGCAGCUGCAUGUGCCUUUCCUUGCCUGUGUGUAUCCUACUGUAUCACUGCAGUACAGAGUAUCCCAUUCUUGACUCUUCGAGAUGUACAGGCCCACUGUAAGAAACAAGUGACACUGUCUCAUUCUUUCCCUUGAAAUGGAGAAUCUGUCAAACAAGGAGAGGCUGAGAACCGGGUCUGUUGAGGCUGAGAAGAAAAAGCUCAGGGCAGAGUUUAUCAACAUCUGAUGGGUGAAAUAAGGAUGAAGCCACACUCAUCCUAGUAGCAUCCAGUAACAGGCAGUUAUUCUCCUGUGAGAAGCAAUCGUCACAAAUAUAAAAUAAAUUCCACCUAAAUGUAAAAAGCCCUUCCUUA
Molecule: long non-coding RNA, 787 nt
Filed under: Cyanistes caeruleus (blue tit)
Lineage: Eukaryota; Metazoa; Chordata; Aves; Passeriformes; Paridae
Description: lncRNA (ENSCCEG00000000196.1)
Source: RNAcentral